ACGGAAGGCAGCAGUGGGGAAUAUUGCACAAUGGGGGAAACCCUGAUGCAGCGACGCCGCGUGAAGGAAGAAGUAUCUCGGUAUGUAAACUUCUAUCAGCAGGGAAGAAAAUGACGGUACCUGACUAAGAAGCCCCGGCUAACUACGUGCCAGCAGCCGCGGUAAUACGUAGGGGGCAAGCGUUAUCCGGAUUUACUGGGUGUAAAGGGAGCGUAGACGGAAUUGCAAGUCUGAUGUGAAAGGCAUGGGCUCAACCUGUGGACUGCAUUGGAAACUGUGAUUCUUGAGUGCCGGGGGGGUAAGCGGAAUUCCUGGUGUAGCGGUGAAAUGCGUAGAUAUCAGGAGGAACACCGGUGGCGAAGGCGGCUUACUGGACGGCAACUGACGUUGAGGCUCGAAGGCGUGGGGAGCAAACAGGAUUAGAUACCCUGGUA
This 434-nucleotide ribosomal RNA is filed under the name uncultured Blautia sp. RNAcentral's name for it is "partial 16S ribosomal RNA". It matches the Rfam family "Bacterial small subunit ribosomal RNA", at positions 341 to 792 of the family's 1533-position model. The record is from RNAcentral. Lineage: Bacteria; Bacillati; Bacillota; Clostridia; Lachnospirales; Lachnospiraceae.